GAUGAGAUUCAACUUACGUAAAUGGAGAACUGAAGCAUCUCAACAAUCAAAGGAAAAAAAGCAAAAGUGAUUCCCAUAGUAGCGACAAGCGAAAUAAGAGCAGCCUAAACCGUGAAAACAAGUUAUGGGAGAGCUAUACAAGUGUCGUGUUCCUAAGUGAACCAAAAUAAAAUGCUACACCCUAGAUGGCGAGAGUCCAAUAGCCAAAAGCAUCACUAGCUUACGCUCGGACAUGAGUGGCAUGAGACACAUUGAAUCCCUUGUAAAUCAGCAAGGACCACCUUACAAGACUAAAUACCUUAUC
RNAcentral lists this non-coding RNA (304 nucleotides) under Vigna radiata var. radiata (mung bean). RNAcentral's name for it is "Bacterial large subunit ribosomal RNA". It matches the Rfam family "Bacterial large subunit ribosomal RNA", at positions 162 to 476 of the family's 2925-position model. The record is from Rfam by way of RNAcentral. Lineage: Eukaryota; Viridiplantae; Streptophyta; Magnoliopsida; Fabales; Fabaceae.